This 22-nucleotide microRNA is filed under the name Sarcophilus harrisii (Tasmanian devil). RNAcentral describes it as "Sha-Mir-7398-P5f_3p* (star (passenger))". RNAcentral also lists the same sequence under 1 other name. Lineage: Eukaryota; Metazoa; Chordata; Mammalia; Dasyuromorphia; Dasyuridae. The record is from RNAcentral.
GUAAAUCCUUACCUCUCACUGU